Molecule: ribosomal RNA, 254 nt
Filed under: uncultured bacterium
Lineage: Bacteria
Description: partial 16S ribosomal RNA
Rfam family: Bacterial small subunit ribosomal RNA
Source: RNAcentral
UACGUAGGGGGCAAGCGUUGUCCGGAUUUAUUGGGCGUAAAGAGCUCGUAGGUGGUUCGGUAAGUCGGAUGUGAAAUCUCCAGGCUCAACCUGGAGGGGUCAUUCGAUACUGCCGUGACUAGAGGUCGGUAGGGGAGUGUGGAAUUCCUGGUGGAGCGGUGAAAUGCGGCAGAUAUCAGGAGGAACACCCGUAGCGAAGGCGGCACUCUGGGCCGAUACUGACACUGAGGAGCGAAAGCGUGGGGAGCAACAGG